AAGGGAGAGUAACGGGUGGUUACUUACCCUCAGGACCGGAAUAGUGUCGGGAAACUGACAGUAAUGCCGGAUAAUAUCUUUGGAUCAAAGGUGUGAUUCCGCCUGGGGAUAGGACCGCUUUCUAUUAGCUUGUUGGCGGGGUAAUGGCCCACCAAGGCUGAGAUGGAUACCGGGUGUGAGAGCAUGGCCCGGCUCACUGGGACUGAGACACUGCCCAGACACCUACGGGUGGCUGCAGUCGAGAAUCUUCGGCAAUGGGCGAAAGCCUGACCGAGCGACGCCGCGUGCGGGAUGAAGGCCUUCGGGUUGUAAACCGCUGUCAGUUGGGAGGAAGGUGCUGUGAAGAGCAGCAUUUGACCGAUCUUCAGAGGAAGGACGGGCUAAGUUCGUGCCAGCAGCCGCGGUAAGACGAACCGUCCGAACGUUAUUCGGUAUCACUGGGCUUAAAGAGUUCGUAGGCGGCCUAGCAGGUGAGGUGUGAAAUCCAACGGCUCAACCGUCGAAUUGCGCUUCAAACCACUAGGCUCGAGGAUGGCAGGGGUGUUGGGAACAGAUGGUGGAGCGGUGAAAUGCGUUGA
Molecule: ribosomal RNA, 578 nt
Filed under: uncultured bacterium
Lineage: Bacteria
Description: bacterial SSU rRNA
Rfam family: Bacterial small subunit ribosomal RNA
Source: RNAcentral